ACUACGGGUGGCAGCAGUGAGGAAUAUUGGUCAAUGGGCGGAAGCCUGAACCAGCCAAGUAGCGUGCAGGAUGACGGCCCUACGGGUUGUAAACUGCUUUUAUACGGGAAUAACGCGCCUUACGUGUAGGGCUUUGCAUGUACCGUAUGAAUAAGGACCGGCUAAUUCCGUGCCAGCAGCCGCGGUACGAGGGAAGGUCCGGGCGUUAUCCGGAUUUAUUGGGUUUAAAGGGAGCGUAGGCCGCAUGUCAAGCGUGCUGUGAAAUGUCCGGGCUCAACCCGGGCCUUGCAGCGCGAACUGGCGUGCUUGAGUCCGCGGAAAGCAGGCGGAAUUCGUCGUGUAGCGGUGAAAUGCUUAGAUAUGACGAAGAACCCCGAUUGCGAAGGCAGCUUGCUGCAGCGGAACUGACGCUGAUGCUCGAAAGCGCGGGUAUCGAACAGGAUUAGAUACCCGGGUAGUC
This 460-nucleotide ribosomal RNA is filed under the name uncultured bacterium. RNAcentral describes it as "partial 16S ribosomal RNA". It matches the Rfam family "Bacterial small subunit ribosomal RNA", at positions 338 to 795 of the family's 1533-position model. The record is from RNAcentral.